This 85-nucleotide transfer RNA is filed under the name Planctomycetales bacterium. RNAcentral describes it as "tRNA-Ser". It matches the Rfam family "tRNA". From Rfam's summary of the family: Transfer RNA (tRNA) molecules are approximately 80 nucleotides in length. Their secondary structure includes four short double-helical elements and three loops (D, anti-codon, and T loops). Further hydrogen bonds mediate the characteristic L-shaped molecular structure. tRNAs have two regions of fundamental functional importance: the anti-codon, which is responsible for specific mRNA codon recognition, and the 3' end, to which the tRNAs corresponding amino acid is attached (by aminoacyl-tRNA synthetases). tRNAs cope with the degeneracy of the genetic code in two manners: having more than one tRNA (with a specific anti-codon) for a particular amino acid; and 'wobble' base-pairing, i.e. permitting non-standard base-pairing at the 3rd anti-codon position. The record is from RNAcentral. Lineage: Bacteria; Pseudomonadati; Planctomycetota; Planctomycetia; Planctomycetales.
GGAUGGGUGGCCGAGUGGACGAAGGCGACGGUCUUGAAAACCGUUUUACCGCAAGGUAACGGGGGUUCGAAUCCCUCCCCAUCCG